This is a long non-coding RNA of Pristis pectinata (smalltooth sawfish), 226 nucleotides long. RefSeq lists it as uncharacterized. Lineage: Eukaryota; Metazoa; Chordata; Chondrichthyes; Rhinopristiformes; Pristidae. The transcript is spliced from 3 exons. The record is from RefSeq and is a predicted model, not a curated record.
GGAUAAAGUGUUGGUGGAUGGAGUGCCUUUAUUUAAUCAUUGGACCUCUGCAAAUGAUAUUAUCCAUAAGAGAUGGUCACUGAAUGAUACCAAAAAUUCAUCAUUACAACAGGAAUUGAAUAGUUCACUCUAUCCACAGCAUCCUGAAGAAACAAAAUCAGGUUCACAACCUGUCAAGAGGAUCCCUCAUUUUGGAUCUAUUGUGAGUGAAAGGAAGGCAUUUUUU